GAUGAACGCUGGCGGCGUGCCUAAUACAUGCAAGUCGAGCGAACAGACGAGGAGCUUGCUCCUCUGACGUUAGCGGCGGACGGGUGAGUAACACGUGGAUAACCUACCUAUAAGACUGGGAUAACUUCGGGAAACCGGAGCUAAUACCGGAUAAUAUAUUGAACCGCAUGGUUCAAUAGUGAAAGACGGUUUUGCUGUCACUUAUAGAUGGAUCCGCGCCGCAUUAGCUAGUUGGUAAGGUAACGGCUUACCAAGGCAACGAUGCGUAGCCGACCUGAGAGGGGGUCGGGCCACCCGGAACCUGAGACACGGCCCAGCCCCCUAGGGAGGGCGGAAGAAGGAAAGUUACGGCAAUGGCGAAAGCCUGACGGAGCAACGCCGCGUGAGUGAUGAAGGUCUUCGGAUCGUAAAACUCUGUUAUUAGGGAAGAACAAAUGUGUAAGUAACUAUGCACGUCUUGACGGUACCUAAUCAGAAAGCCACGGCUAACUACGUG
This 496-nucleotide ribosomal RNA is filed under the name uncultured bacterium. RNAcentral's name for it is "partial 16S ribosomal RNA". It matches the Rfam family "Bacterial small subunit ribosomal RNA", at positions 28 to 507 of the family's 1533-position model. The record is from RNAcentral.